Long non-coding RNA from Scatophagus argus, 2158 nucleotides. RefSeq lists it as uncharacterized. The record is from RefSeq and is a predicted model, not a curated record. Lineage: Eukaryota; Metazoa; Chordata; Actinopteri; Scatophagidae. The transcript is spliced from 4 exons.
GCGUAUAAUUUUCCGAUUGGCCAAUAGGAACGCUGGAUUCCACCUCUCAAUCCAAUUAGCGCUCGACUUUGUCGCAAACGUCAAAUCAUGCUAACCAUAAAUAUCACAUCGUUAGUUUAGUUACAGUUGAGAAGUUAGCUAAUAUUCAACACAGAGGAUUUUAAGUUUGGAGUACGGACGACGAGAGAAUGAGAUUCAUUUAGGGUUAGGAGUUCAGUGAGCAAACACGUGUGUUUAUAAAUUAGAUAAUGCUAAUUCGGCUAACGCUGUCAAGCUAAGUCAACCAACAGGUGGGUUAGAGGUGCUGCAGCGUAUUUCACAGACAGCUUAAAUGAUAAUUUGAGUGCAUGUAAGUGAAGUUAAGUGGAGCUGUACUUAACUUUGGGUAAAUUUAUCAUUUACAUUUGACCCUGUGUGCAGGAGCAUUGAGCUUCGGACAGCCACAGUAUCAUGCCAGGGGACCAACUCCAGAUCUGAUGCUGGUUCAGAUGGCCCAGGCAGAAAGUGCCUUGUUCAAGGACAUACCUUAUGUUUCACCACUGAGGAAGGACAAGCUUUAUCAAGACAAAUGGCCGUGGUGCUCAGGUGGGGCUUGAGAAAACGGUGGCCCUCACAGCAACACACGGCAGCAGUAGCAGCCGCAUGAAAAACCCCAUCCUGCUACUACCCCACCCCCACCCCCACCCCAAAGAACCCCAACAAGGAGACUUCAGACUACCAUAUCAGGACGGGCUGUCCGUGGAUCGGCCUGUGGGAUGGAGGUAAGCUUCUGGGCUUCUGUCUGCCUUUCUCUGUCUCACAGAUUCCUCUGGAUCCACCCCCCUCCUGGAUCCCAGAUUCUCUCCAUCAUCUCCUCCAGCCGUGAGGUCUAACCGGCAGGGCAGGGGCGUGUGGGCGGACAUGCUGGGCGCUGGCAGCGUGUUCCGUCUGCUAGUGAGUAAUGCGAGUACAGAGACGACCCCCUCCACCACCACCCCCCAAACACACACACACACACACACACACACACACACACUUCACACUCCCAGAAAGAGAUGGGCCAUAGAUGGAGAGGCAGGCGCUCCUGCUGUGACUUGGCGCACCCCACUGGACAGCUGGAGACUUAGGGAACGGAGACGCUGCCAAACAUGCCUGACAGAGCAGGGGAGUGCUGGAGGUGCAAGGCUGGGCGAGGCCUGAGGUGACUCCCAUACCUGCAGCUGAUCACUGGCCCAUCAUCUGUAAUUAUCUACACUUAUAUACCAGUGAGAUAAAAAGAGGGAUGAGGAACACGCACACACACACACGCACGUACACAUUUAUAAUCACAUUAAAAGGCUAUGAAAAGAGAACCAUUGACCGACCAAUGAGUUUGGAAUGAAUGCACCUAAUUAUGUUACUCUGAUGAGGAAGUUAUAUCUGCUGUAAUUAUUUUGAUUGAUAUAGUUGUACAGCAGUGAUAUGCAUAAUGUGCUCCUGCAUUGUUUAUUUAAUGCCAAUUAUAUUGUAUCACAACAACAAUUUGCUCAAACUGUGAACAGGAGUUAUUACUGAACCCAAAGCAACAAUGAGAUCUAUUACUGUUUUGUCUCGUAUUUAUGUUUGGCCAAUGAAAACAAUGUUAACUUAUGGCUGCAACCAAAGAAUUCUGUCAUUAUAAAUUCUCGAUUAUUGACAGAUAGUGUUGUCCCUUAUUUCCCACAUGCUGAGGUGACUUCUUGAAAUUGCUUGUUUUAUUUGAUUAAAAAAACAAAAUAUUCAGUUGACUUUCAUAUAUCAUAAAGAAAAGCAUCAAAAAAAUCAGAUGAAAAGCUAAAACCAGUGAAUGUUUUGCAUUAAUCAAUUCAAAUCAGAUUUGUUGGUGAUUAACUGUCUGGGGAUUGGCCAAUUGAAUAAUCGACUGUGUUGAUGUGCGCACGCUUUUUUCACAACACAUUAUCAUAAAUAAAAAACUCUCAAGAAUUCCAAGAAAAAAAUCUCUCAAGAUUGAAUGCGAAAUGUUCAACCGAGGCAACAAUUCACAAGUUCUCCCUCUCCAGGUCAAACAGCUUGCACACAGCAUAUGCAGAUUAGAGCAAAGUGCUGCAAUCUACAUUGGGACUCUUCAUCAUGAUGCUGUUGGGCUAUUUUACAACUAUAGCUCAUAAUGCAGGAAAGGAAUAACACUGCUUUAAUGUUA